This 169-nucleotide non-coding RNA is filed under the name uncultured Entomomonas sp. The record is from RNAcentral. Lineage: Bacteria; Pseudomonadati; Pseudomonadota; Gammaproteobacteria; Pseudomonadales; Pseudomonadaceae.
AAUUGUUUAUGUGAGGAAACGGGAAAUAGGUAAAAUCCUAUGCUGCCCCCGCAACGGUAAUUGAUAGCUUUUUAAAUAAGCACUGUCCUUUAAUAUAACCACUGUAACUUCAAGUUAUGGGAAGGUAAAGAUAACAGAUCAUAAGCCCGGAGACCGCCCUUCAUAUCUA